This 100-nucleotide transfer RNA is filed under the name Geitlerinema splendidum. RNAcentral describes it as "tRNA-Ile". It matches the Rfam family "tRNA". From Rfam's summary of the family: Transfer RNA (tRNA) molecules are approximately 80 nucleotides in length. Their secondary structure includes four short double-helical elements and three loops (D, anti-codon, and T loops). RNAcentral also lists the same sequence under 3 other names. The record is from RNAcentral. Lineage: Bacteria; Bacillati; Cyanobacteriota; Cyanophyceae; Geitlerinematales; Geitlerinemataceae.
UGCAGCGUAGCUUAAUGGCAAAGCCCCAAGCUCAUAACUUGGUCAUUACGGGUAUCUCCUUCGGAGACGCUUACGCGAACAACUCCCGUCGCUGCGACCA